RNAcentral lists this ribosomal RNA (630 nucleotides) under uncultured Gymnodiniales. RNAcentral's name for it is "partial large subunit ribosomal RNA". It matches the Rfam family "Eukaryotic large subunit ribosomal RNA", at positions 39 to 626 of the family's 3401-position model. Lineage: Eukaryota; Dinophyceae; Gymnodiniales. The record is from RNAcentral.
CAUAUAAGUAAGCGGAGGAUGAGAAACUAAACAGGAUUCCCUCAGUAAUGGCGAAUGAACAGGGAUUAGCUCAGUAUGGAAAUCUGGGUCUGUGGCCCUGAAUUGUAACCUCGAGAUGUACUGCCAACGGAGGCGCAGACGUAAGCCUCUUGGAAAAGAGCUUCAUUGAGGGUGAGAUGCCCGUUCUUGUCUGCAGUCCCCCGUGCACGGUGUAUGUUCUGAGAGUCACGUUCCUUGGGAUUGGAGCGCAAAUUUGGUGGUAAAUUUCAUCUCAAGNUAAAUAUUGGUUCAAGACCGAUAGCAAACAAGUACCAUGAGGGAAAGGUGAAAAGGACUUUGAAAAGAGAGUUAAAAGUGCCUGAAAUUGCUGAAAGGGAAGCGAAUGGAACCAGUCUUGCUGGAUGAGAUUGUUGCACGCUAAGUGGAUGGCUUGCUGGUGCAGCGCAAGCGCCUCAGUGAGUUUUGAAAUGUACGCGUGUGGUGCUUCUCGUCUUGUGUGUCAGCGCUGAUUCACCUGUGGGUACAACUCCACGCACAUGGAAGUUCAUCUAUGGGUGAGCGAACGUGUGUGGCAGAACUCACGAGUGAAUUGAAAGUCUGCGCUUGGUGACAACACUUGUGCCCUGCUCU